Molecule: non-coding RNA, 47 nt
Organism: Strongylocentrotus purpuratus (purple sea urchin)
Lineage: Eukaryota; Metazoa; Echinodermata; Echinoidea; Camarodonta; Strongylocentrotidae
Source: Rfam
CAAACGGCCCUUUUCAGAGCCACCACAUCCUCAAGAAAGAACAAACU